RNAcentral lists this ribosomal RNA (483 nucleotides) under uncultured soil bacterium. Its description in RNAcentral is "bacterial SSU rRNA". It matches the Rfam family "Bacterial small subunit ribosomal RNA", at positions 26 to 490 of the family's 1533-position model. The record is from RNAcentral.
AGAUUGAACGCUGGCGGCAUGCCUUACACAUGCAAGUCGAACGGCAGCACGGGAGCAAUCCUGGUGGCGAGUGGCGAACGGGUGGGUAAUAUAUCGGAACGUGCCCAGUCGUGGGGGAUAACGUAGAGAAAUUUACGCUAAUACCGCAUACGAUCUAAGGAUGAAAGCGGGGGACCUUCGGGCCUCGCGCGAUUGGAGCGGCUGAUAUCAGAUUAGGUUGUUGGUGAGGUAAAAGCUCACCAAGCCGACGAUCUGUAGCUGGUUUGAGAGAACGACCAGCCACACUGGGACUGAGACACGGCCCAGACUCCUACGGGAGGCAGGCAGUGGGAAUUUUGGACAAUGGGCAAAGCCUGAUCCAGCAAUGCCGCGUGCAGGAAGAAGGCCUUACGGUUAGUAAACUUGCGUUUUGUAACGGUAACGUAAAAGGUCUACGCCCGUAAUACCGGUGGCCCGAAUCGGUAACGGUAACCGGUUAAGAAA